RNAcentral lists this transfer RNA (61 nucleotides) under Salmo salar (Atlantic salmon). It matches the Rfam family "tRNA", at positions 6 to 65 of the family's 71-position model. Rfam says of the family: Transfer RNA (tRNA) molecules are approximately 80 nucleotides in length. Their secondary structure includes four short double-helical elements and three loops (D, anti-codon, and T loops). RNAcentral also lists the same sequence under 1 other name. The record is from Rfam by way of RNAcentral. Lineage: Eukaryota; Metazoa; Chordata; Actinopteri; Salmoniformes; Salmonidae.
UGUGGCUCACUUGGUAGAGCAUGGCACUUGCAAUGCCAGGGUAGUGGGUUUGAUUCCGCCA